GGUGCAGGCGGCCUUUCAAGUCGGAUGUGAAAUCUCCCGGCUCAACCGGGAGAGGUCAUUCGAUACUGCUGGGCUAGAGGACAGCAGAGGGAGACGGAAUUCCCGGUGUAGUGGUGAAAUGCGUAGAUAUCGGGAGGAACACCAGUGGCGAAGGCGGUCUCCUGGGCUGUGCCUGACGCUGAGGCCCGACGGCGUGGGGAGCAAACA
Molecule: ribosomal RNA, 207 nt
Filed under: uncultured bacterium
Lineage: Bacteria
Description: partial 16S ribosomal RNA
Rfam family: Bacterial small subunit ribosomal RNA
Source: RNAcentral